Molecule: long non-coding RNA, 849 nt
Organism: Elgaria multicarinata webbii
Lineage: Eukaryota; Metazoa; Chordata; Lepidosauria; Squamata; Anguidae
Exons: 4
Source: RefSeq, a predicted model, not a curated record
UUAGUCAGUGGCAACAACAAAGAAUAAAAAAGUCAAUUUUAUGUAUUACAUUCCCUGUGAAAUAUACAAAGCUAUUUGGCUACAACAAGAAGUUGGGAGCUUGCUUCAAACCAGCUAUGCGGCGGAAAAUAGGAGCAGGUGAGUUUCACUGGAAUUACACUCCCACAAAAUUACGUAGAGCUGCUUAUCUCCUGUAUGAAAUCCACUGGGGAAGACGCAAGAUCUUGAGAAACUGGUGUAGAAACGUCAAGAAUGCCCAUGUUGAAAAAGUCUUUUUGAAAAAUGUCUUCGGGGAGAUUAACAGCUGGACAAACAGACCAGACCACAUCAUUUGGUUUGUCUCUUGGACUCCUUGUGGUGUAUGUGCCCAGCAUAUAAUUAAUUUCUUGAAGGAUCAUCCACAUCUGACGCUGGAGAUACGAGCGGCGCGGGUGUAUAGGCCUCGUGACCGGCGUAACAAGAAAGGCCUCAAGGCCUUAGUUAAUAUCCGAGAUCUCUAUCAUAGAUCUAGAGUCCAGAUAUCUAUCAUGGAUCUGGGUGAUUAUCAAUAUUGUUGGGGAACUUUUGUGGCUCAGCCAAGGAUGAACUAUUUGCCACCGUGGUAUUUCUGGUACUGGAGACAUCAUCAUUCCCAAAAACUGGCCUCAAUCCUUUACUUCUGAGUUGUCCCAGAUACUGUGUGUAAUAUUUCGAACACAGGAAUGCUUACCAACAGAAGCUUUAUUCAGAAUAGCCUUAAGAAGCUCGACUGUAAUAUUGUGGCCUGAGCAGCAGGACUCCACAAGAACCCAGAAGCGACAAACUCGAAAUAUGCAACAUCCAAAGUGCAUAAAACAUCAUCUGAAUGGA